ACAACAACCACCCAUCAAUACCCCCAAAAGCACACCCCAAAAUAAAUAAACCAUUCUUCCCCCUGAGUAUAGGCGAUAGAAAAGGGCCUCGGAGCAAUAGAAAUAGUACCGCAAGGGAA
Molecule: ribosomal RNA, 119 nt
Filed under: Haemulopsis leuciscus
Lineage: Eukaryota; Metazoa; Chordata; Actinopteri; Lutjaniformes; Haemulidae
Description: partial 16S ribosomal RNA
Source: RNAcentral